This is a long non-coding RNA of Myotis daubentonii (Daubenton's bat), 980 nucleotides long. RefSeq lists it as uncharacterized. The record is from RefSeq and is a predicted model, not a curated record. NCBI's taxonomy places the organism in Eukaryota, Metazoa, Chordata, Mammalia, Chiroptera, Vespertilionidae.
GUCAUUUAUGGAAGGCGGACGUUCCGGUUUGGCCAUCUCUGCGAGGUCGUUGUUGUUUGGAGCUUCCCUGGGCAGUUUCCCAGCGUGUCCUUGGGCAGACGUCUUUCUGCCGUGAAGAGGGAAGAAGGUCACAGCAUGACCUGUCUGGCCAAAGCACUGGAUAUGCAGCAGAGCCCAGCCUGUGUGGCAGGAUGUUUCUGAGCGAGUCUCUGAAAGAGUGACAGGUUUUUCCAUGACAGUGGAUUUUCUGUAUCGUUUGACAGAGAGGAACGGAGAGGGAGAGGCACGGGAUGCAGAGGUGGAACCAUGGAUCCUCUGCUUUCUUCACAGCUUGAAGUGGCGAUGGCUGUGCCUACCUGAGAGGUGCGUGUGCCUUUCCUGGUGGCCAUGUGCAGACGACCGAGGUUGUUGUGAUGGAGGGACCGGUGCCUCGUUUUGGAGGGGCCCGUGCUCCUGCCGUCACCUGGCUAGCCUGGAGUGAUGUUUUGUGCUUGUGAUGCCACAGUGUCCCCUCAUGGUGUGGCUUCCUUGAGAACGAAGCUGUGACCGUGUGUGCUCUGUAUCGUCUGUCUGUGUAGCUUGUGCUUGUGGGGAGCUGACAUGUGUCCCAGAGGACCUGUGAGCACAGUGUCGAUUGUGAGUGAAUUGUGUCCUUUCUUAUGUUUUCAGUGAGCACAUGAGCGUAUACACACACAUACACACCUACCCAUAUACAGUGUAUUGGUUGGGUGGGUUGUCAAGAUCAUUGUUUUACUUCAAGGAUGGGAGAGAGAUGUAGAAGACAGGGACCGGGAGACUAUUGUGUGGCGCCCAUGGAGUUGUGUGUUUAUAGCAUUUCUUUGUAAGUGUGGGUCUUGAGUCCGAAUGGAGGGGUUGGUUGGCUCCUCUAUGUGUGUUGCUGUUUAUGAGACUUGGAGUUGCAAGCAGUACACUUUCCCCUGCACUGCAUCUCCCAUGAGGUGCUCCAUGGUGUGUCCCCA